GUGAACGCUGGCGGUAGGCCUAACACAUGCAAGUCGAACGGCAGCACAGUAAGGGCUUGCUCUUACGGGUGGCGAGUGGCGGACGGGUGAGGAAGACAUCGGAAUCUACUUUUUCGUGGGGGAUAACGUAGGGAAACUUACGCUAAUACCGCAUACGACCUACGGGUGAAAGCAGGGGAUCUUCGGACCUUGCGCGAUUGAAUGAGCCGAUGUCGGAUUAGCUAGUUGGCGGGGUAAAGGCACACCAAGGCGACGAUCCGUAGCUGGUCUGAGAGGAUGAUCAGCCACACUGGAACUGAGACACGGUCCAGACUCCUACGGGAGGCAGCAGUGGGGAAUAUUGGACAAUGGGCGCAAGCCUGAUCCAGCCAUACCGCGUGGGUGAAGAAGGCCUUCGGGUUGUAAAGCCCUUUUGUUGGGAAAGAAAAGCAGCAGGUUAAUCCCCCGCUGUUCUGACGGUACCCAAAGAAUAAGCACCGGCUAACUUCGUG
This 491-nucleotide ribosomal RNA is filed under the name uncultured bacterium. RNAcentral's name for it is "partial 16S ribosomal RNA". It matches the Rfam family "Bacterial small subunit ribosomal RNA", at positions 29 to 507 of the family's 1533-position model. The record is from RNAcentral.